RNAcentral lists this ribosomal RNA (256 nucleotides) under uncultured bacterium. RNAcentral's name for it is "partial 16S ribosomal RNA". It matches the Rfam family "Bacterial small subunit ribosomal RNA", at positions 524 to 776 of the family's 1533-position model. The record is from RNAcentral.
GACGUAGGGCGCGAGCGUUGUCCGGAUUUAUUGGGCGUAAAGAGCUCGUAGGCGGCUUGUUUGCGUCGACUGUGAAAAACCCGCGGCUUAACUGCGGGCUUGCAGUUGAUACGGGCAGGCUAGAGUUCGGUAGGGGAGACUGGAAUUCCCUGGUGUAGCGGUGAAAUGCGCAGAUAUCAGGAGGAACACCGGUGGCGAAGGCGGGUCUCUGGGCCGAUACUGACGCUGAGGAGCGAAAGCGUGGGGAGCGAACAGG